This 71-nucleotide transfer RNA is filed under the name Hungatella hathewayi. RNAcentral describes it as "tRNA-Gly". It matches the Rfam family "tRNA". Rfam says of the family: Transfer RNA (tRNA) molecules are approximately 80 nucleotides in length. Their secondary structure includes four short double-helical elements and three loops (D, anti-codon, and T loops). Lineage: Bacteria; Bacillati; Bacillota; Clostridia; Lachnospirales; Lachnospiraceae. The record is from RNAcentral.
GCAGGUAUGGUUUAAUGGUAGAACGCCAGCUUCCCAGGCUGGAAAGGCGGGUUCGAUUCCCGUUGCCUGCU